Molecule: ribosomal RNA, 1701 nt
Filed under: Salmonella enterica subsp. enterica serovar Anatum
Lineage: Bacteria; Pseudomonadati; Pseudomonadota; Gammaproteobacteria; Enterobacterales; Enterobacteriaceae
Description: partial 23S ribosomal RNA
Rfam family: Bacterial large subunit ribosomal RNA
Source: RNAcentral
GAAGGUGGCCUGUGAGGGUUGCUGGAGGUAUCAGAAGUGCGAAUGCUGACAUAAGUAACGAUAAAGCGGGUGAAAAGCCCGCUCGCCGGAAGACCAAGGGUUCCUGUCCAACGUUAAUCGGGGCAGGGUGAGUCGACCCCUAAGGCGAGGCCGAAAGGCGUAGUCGAUGGGAAACAGGUUAAUAUUCCUGUACUUGGUGUUACUGCGAAGGGGGGACGGAGAAGGCUAUGUUGGCCGGGCGACGGUUGUCCCGGUUUAAGCGUGUAGGCUGGUUUUCCAGGCAAAUCCGGCUAAAACUGAGGCGUGAUGACGAGGCACUACGGUGCUGAAGCAACAAAUGCCCUGCUUCCAGGAAAAGCCUCUAAGCAUCAGGUAACAUCAAAUCGUACCCCAAACCGACACAGGUGGUCAGGUAGAGAAUACCAAGGCGCUUGAGAGAACUCGGGUGAAGGAACUAGGCAAAAUGGUGCCGUAACUUCGGGAGAAGGCACGCUGACACGUAGGUGAAGUGAUUUACUCAUGGAGCUGAAGUCAGUCGAAGAUACCAGCUGGCUGCAACUGUUUAUUAAAAACACAGCACUGUGCAAACACGAAAGUGGACGUAUACGGUGUGACGCCUGCCCGGUGCCGGAAGGUUAAUUGAUGGGGUCAGCGCAAGCGAAGCUCCUGAUCGAAGCCCCGGUAAACGGCGGCCGUAACUAUAACGGUCCUAAGGUAGCGAAAUUCCUUGUCGGGUAAGUUCCGACCUGCACGAAUGGCGUAAUGAUGGCCAGGCUGUCUCCACCCGAGACUCAGUGAAAUUGAACUCGCUGUGAAGAUGCAGUGUACCCGCGGCAAGACGGAAAGACCCCGUGAACCUUUACUAUAGCUUGACACUGAACAUUGAGCCUUGAUGUGUAGGAUAGGUGGGAGGCUUUGAAGUGUGGACGCCAGUCUGCAUGGAGCCGACCUUGAAAUACCACCCUUUAAUGUUUGAUGUUCUAACGUGGACCCGUGAUCCGGGUUGCGGACAGUGUCUGGUGGGUAGUUUGACUGGGGCGGUCUCCUCCUAAAGAGUAACGGAGGAGCACGAAGGUUGGCUAAUCCUGGUCGGACAUCAGGAGGUUAGUGCAAUGGCAUAAGCCAGCUUGACUGCGAGCGUGACGGCGCGAGCAGGUGCGAAAGCAGGUCAUAGUGAUCCGGUGGUUCUGAAUGGAAGGGCCAUCGCUCAACGGAUAAAAGGUACUCCGGGGAUAACAGGCUGAUACCGCCCAAGAGUUCAUAUCGACGGCGGUGUUUGGCACCUCGAUGUCGGCUCAUCACAUCCUGGGGCUGAAGUAGGUCCCAAGGGUAUGGCUGUUCGCCAUUUAAAGUGGUACGCGAGCUGGGUUUAGAACGUCGUGAGACAGUUCGGUCCCUAUCUGCCGUGGGCGCUGGAGAACUGAGGGGGGCUGCUCCUAGUACGAGAGGACCGGAGUGGACGCAUCACUGGUGUUCGGGUUGUCAUGCCAAUGGCACUGCCCGGUAGCUAAAUGCGGAAGAGAUAAGUGCUGAAAGCAUCUAAGCACGAAACUUGCCCCGAGAUGAGUUCUCCCUGAGACUUAGAGUCUCCUGAAGGAACGUUGAAGACGACGACGUUGAUAGGCCGGGUGUGUAAGCGCAGCGAUGCGUUGAGCUAACCGGUACUAAUGAACCGUGAGGCUUAACCUUACAACGCCGAAG